AGAAGAGGAAAGUCGUAACAAGGUAAGCCUACCGGAAGGUGGUCUUGGAACCAGAACAUAGCUUAUCAAAAGCAUUUUGCUUACACCAAAAAAAUAUCCCAUAGAUUGUUCUGAAACUGUAAAUUUAGCCUUCUAUCCCCCCCCCUCACUUUUUUCCCCCCAAACCAUUUAAACAUGUUAGUAUGAGUGACAGAAAACCUCUUAGCGCAAUAAAUAAAGUACUGCAAAGGAAAAAUGAAAUAGAAAUUAAAUAAACCAUAAAAGUAUAAUAAAGCAAAGACAAACCCUUAUACCUUUUGCAUCAUGGUCUAGCAAGUCUCACACAACAAAAAUACUUAUGCCGAAGCCCCCGAAACCAAACGAGCUACCCAAAAGCGACAUAGUCAACAUCUUCUCUGUAGCAAAAGAGAGAAAAGACUUUUGGGUAGAGGCGAAAACCCAAACGAGUUUGGAGAUAGCUGGUUACUUGGGAAAUGAACUAAAUUCAACUAAAAGCAAAUAUACCAACAAGGACACACUCCGCUUUUAAUAUAGUAAAUUAGGGUACAGCCUAUUUUACAAAGGAAACAGCCUACAAAAAUGAAUAAAGAUUAAAACAACUACAACAAAGUAGGCCUAAAAGCAGCCACCAAGAAAAGCGUCACAGCUUGAUUAUAUUUAAAAAAUAUUCAAAUAAAUUAUCCAAAUUCAACCGAACAACCAAGUUAAUCUAUUUAUAGAUAAACUACUACUAGAAUUAGUAAUAAGGAACACCUCUUAAUACAUGUGUAAAUCAGAACGAACCCUCACUGAUAAUUAACAAAAACAUUUAUUUUACAAGAAAUCAAAUACUACACAUCGUUAAUUCAACACAGACGUAUAAAAGAAAGAUUUAAAGCUUAAGAAGGAACUCGGCAAACCAAGGCUUCGCCUGUUUACCAAAAACAUCGCCUUUCGACAAACAAACAUGAAAGGUCCUGCCUGCCCAGUGAAAUUAUUUUAACGGCCGCGGUAUUAUGACCGUGCAAAGGUAGCAUAAUCACUUGCCUCUUAAAUCGAGACCAGUAUGAACGGCAAAACGAAAGCCUAACUGUCUCCUUAAGCCAGUCAAUGAAAUUGAUCUUCCCGUGCAAAAGCGAGAAUGUAAAUAUAAGACGAGAAGACCCUGUGGAGCUUAAAAAUAAAACUAUAUAAAUAUUUUACAAUAGCAUUAAAUUUAGGUUGGGGCGACCAUGAGGUAAAAUAAAACCCUCAAGACAAUAAUCAGAAGGACACUUCAAACAAAAAGUAAAACUUAUACAUGACCCAAUAAUGAUCAACGAACCAAGUUACCCCAGGGAUAACAGCGCAAUCCAUUUUCAGAGCUCAUAUCAACAAAUGGGUUUACGACCUCGAUGUUGGAUCAGGACCCCCCAAUGGUGCAACAACUAUUAAAGGUUCGUUGUCAACGAUAAA
RNAcentral lists this ribosomal RNA (1434 nucleotides) under Chiropterotriton magnipes (bigfoot splayfoot salamander). RNAcentral describes it as "partial large subunit ribosomal RNA". It matches the Rfam family "Bacterial large subunit ribosomal RNA", at positions 242 to 2591 of the family's 2925-position model. Lineage: Eukaryota; Metazoa; Chordata; Amphibia; Caudata; Plethodontidae. The record is from RNAcentral.